This 1504-nucleotide long non-coding RNA is filed under the name Bos mutus (wild yak). RNAcentral's name for it is "lncRNA (ENSBMUG00000010457.1)". The record is from RNAcentral. Lineage: Eukaryota; Metazoa; Chordata; Mammalia; Artiodactyla; Bovidae.
AGGGUUGAGAUAAACACUCCUCCCAUUAAGUGGUCAUGGAAAGAAAACCUAGUAGAGUGAUAGAUGUUGUGGUGUGGUGGUCUGUGACUCCAAAUUAACACCGGAAGUUGUAUUCUAAUUUUGGUUCUAAGAGCCAUUUGGUUUAGGUUGAGACAAUCUCCAUACCAACAGUCUAACCUUGAGCAGAAUUCUGUGGUGAACCUCUGAGCAUUUGAAAAGCUUAGAAAGACUAAAGAGUCUGGAAAUGAAACUGUGAUCCUUUGCCCCGAGGUCUCUUAGGCCACUUCCCACCCUUCAGUCUGGGCCCUAAGAGAAACAUCUUAGAAAGAAAACACGUACGUUCAAAGACCUGAAGGAGGAGAACAAGUGUGCUCAGGGGGCCAAGUGAACUACAGAUUAUCCCAAGCAGGACAAAGGAAAUGACUAAAUAACUCUACACAUACAGAAGGAACCAGCACCCGAGACACGAGUCAUUAAGAAAGCUAUUAAUACAAUAAAAUAUUGUCCUUAAUGACUACUCUACAAUAUUUUGUUUUUUGGAGUCUUGGAACAGCAGUUUCAAUCAUAUUGCAAAGAGGACCAUGAAGAUCUCUGUGUCCUAAAGUUUAGCAUUCCAUGAUCUUUGGAUCAUAUACAAAUGACUUUGUGAUUUUUGUGCUAUUAAUAUUAUGGAAAUUAGCUAAUAUAGAGAUUUUUAAUUUGCCAUAUCUAUUUUCUACAUUAAACGCUUAAGAUUACAUUUACUAUGAAAUUGUCCUUAAAAUUAAAUAUAAAUGACAAUAUAAUGUUAAUUCAAGCUAUAUGAUUUUCAGCAACCAUACAAAACAAUAAGCACCUAAAUGAGAACUAUUAAAAAAUUGAUUCAGGGAAACACUGAUUUAAAGCCAGUCAUUCUUUGCAGUUACCCAUUUAAAUCUGGAAGCCUCAAGCGUUCUAACAACAGAUCUAAUGAAAGUAUUCGAUGUGUUAUUUAGUUGCAGCAUACAGAGUGUUCACAAGACACAAAGAACACUUUGAUUAUACUAAUAACAUUUGCUAAAAACUAUUGUGGAAGCAGAACAUGGAUCCGUUCCUGCUUUGGAUCAUUUAGUUCAUUUUUAAAUGUGUCCACUGCCUGGGAACUUGCAGAGAUGACAGGCUGUAUGGUGAGGUACACAGGGAAGUCGGUGUGUUUGUUCUGUGGUGAACAGCCCCCAAGUAAAGGUCCAGGAUUUAUGGCCACUCUAUCAUAUCUAGUAUCCACUGAACAAGGCAGAAUAUUUUCCCUCUGAUCUUUAGACUUUUUAAUGGGCAUUGAUCAUUCUUUUUGUUGGCCUACCAUAUGACGCCCCUUCCCCUGUUGGGGAGUUCCUCUACCUUCAUCUUCAGAUGGGGAGCCGUGUUCUAUUUGCUUCCCUAAGAUCUCAUACAAUACGAAGGCAGGCAGUGACCCUAGCCCCCACCUCUCAGACACACCCACCACAGGCUUCUAAUUGAGAGAGAAGGAAGCAAAGAAACAGGGACC